GUGGGGAAUAUUGCACAAUGGGCGCAAGCCUGAUGCAGCAACGCCGUGUGAGUGAUGAAGGCCUUCGGGUCGUAAAACUCUGUCCUAUGGGAAGAAAACAAUGACGGUACCAUAGGAGGAAGCCCCGGCUAACUACGUGCCAGCAGCCGCGGUAAUACGUAGGGGGCAAGCGUUAUCCGGAAUCACUGGGCGUAAAGGGUGCGUAGGUGGCUUAUCAAGCCAGGGGUGAAAGGCAUUGGCUCAACCAAUGUAAGCCUUUGGAACUGAUAAGCUUGAGUGCAGGAGAGGUAAGUGGAAUUCCUAGUGUAGAGGUGAAAUUCGUAGAUAUUAGGAGGAACACCAGUGGCGAAGGCGACUUACUGGACUGUAACUGACACUGAGGCACGAAAGCGUGGGGAGCGAACAGGAUUAGAAACCCUAGUAGUCC
This 427-nucleotide ribosomal RNA is filed under the name uncultured bacterium. RNAcentral describes it as "bacterial SSU rRNA". It matches the Rfam family "Bacterial small subunit ribosomal RNA", at positions 354 to 796 of the family's 1533-position model. The record is from RNAcentral.